This 1430-nucleotide ribosomal RNA is filed under the name uncultured organism. RNAcentral's name for it is "16S ribosomal RNA". It matches the Rfam family "Bacterial small subunit ribosomal RNA". The record is from RNAcentral.
CUCAGGGCGAACGCUGGCGGCGUGCUUAACACAUGCAAGUCGAACGGAAAGGCCCUGCUUUUGUGGGGUGCUCGAGUGGCGAACGGGUGAGUAACACGUGAGUAACCUGCCCUUGACUUUGGGAUAACUUCAGGAAACUGGGGCUAAUACCGGAUAGGAGCUCCUGCUGCAUGGUGGGGGUUGGAAAGUUUCGGCGGUUGGGGAUGGACUCGCGGCUUAUCAGCUUGUUGGUGGGGUAGUGGCUUACCAAGGCUUUGACGGGUAGCCGGCCUGAGAGGGUGACCGGCCACAUUGGGACUGAGAUACGGCCCAGACUCCUACGGGAGGCAGCAGUGGGGAAUAUUGCACAAUGGGCGGAAGCCUGAUGCAGCAACGCCGCGUGCGGGAUGACGGCCUUCGGGUUGUAAACCGCUUUCGCCUGUGACGAAGCGUGAGUGACGGUAAUGGGUAAAGAAGCACCGGCUAACUACGUGCCAGCAGCCGCGGUGAUACGUAGGGUGCGAGCGUUGUCCGGAUUUAUUGGGCGUAAAGGGCUCGUAGGUGGUUGAUCGCGUCGGAAGUGUAAUCUUGGGGCUUAACCCUGAGCGUGCUUUCGAUACGGGUUGACUUGAGGAAGGUAGGGGAGGAUGGAAUUCCUGGUGGAGCGGUGGAAUGCGCAGAUAUCAGGAGGAACACCAGUGGCGAAGGCGGUUCUCUGGGCCUUUCCUGACGCUGAGGAGCGAAAGCGUGGGGAGCGAACAGGCUUAGAUACCCUGGUAGUCCACGCUGUAAACGGUGGGUACUAGGUGUGGGGUCCAUUCCACGGGUUCCGUGCCGUAGCUAACGCUUUAAGUACCCCGCCUGGGGAGUACGGCCGCAAGGCUAAAACUCAAAGGAAUUGACGGGGCCCCGCACAAGCGGCGGAGCAUGCGGAUUAAUUCGAUGCAACGCGUAGAACCUUACCUGGGUUUGACAUGGAUCGGGAGUGCUCAGAGAUGGGUGUGCCUCUUUUGGGGUCGGUUCACAGGUGGUGCAUGGCUGUCGUCAGCUCGUGUCGUGAGAUGUUGGGUUAAGUCCCGCAACGAGCGCAACCCUUGUUCACUGUUGCCAGCACGUUAUGGUGGGGACUCAGUGGAGACCGCCGGGGUCAACUCGGAGGAAGGUGGGGAUGACGUCAAGUCAUCAUGCCCCUUAUGUCCAGGGCUUCACGCAUGCUACAAUGGCUGGUACAGAGAGUGGCGAGCCUGUGAGGGUGAGCGAAUCUCGGAAAGCCGGUCUCAGUUCGGAUUGGGGUCUGCAACUCGACCUCAUGAAGUCGGAGUCGCUAGUAAUCGCAGAUCAGCAACGCUGCGGUGAAUACGUUCCCGGGGCUUGUACACACCGCCCGUCAAGUCAUGAAAGUUGGUAACACCCGAAGCCGAAGGCCUAACCGUUGUGGGGGAGCCGUCGAA